Heterocephalus glaber (naked mole-rat) is the source of this 835-nucleotide non-coding RNA. The record is from RefSeq and is a predicted model, not a curated record. Lineage: Eukaryota; Metazoa; Chordata; Mammalia; Rodentia; Bathyergidae.
AUGGACUGAAACCUCUACAGACUAUAAUUACUUUGAUGGAUGGACUUCAUAAUAAAAUGAAUUAUUAAUGCUGCUAAAGACAUUUUUCCCUGUGACCGCCCCCAAGCACUACUAAUCUACUCUGCUAAAGUCCUGCAUCUUUAUUCACUCAUCUACAAAACUCCACGUGGUGAUUUGUGGAAGCAUACCUUGGACAUCCAGGAAAGAGCUUUAAAAAUUAACCUCUGUCUUCAUUUUAAGAAUGAAAAUGAACUAAGACCUAUGGAGGUUAACUGAAAUGCCACGUUGGAUCUCUAACAAUUUGAGGUCAACAACCUUCAGUGGCUUCCUGUUCGGCUUCAGAAUUUAUUUCUACACCUGACCUCCUUGGUGUUAGCCUCUCUCAUGUGGCAGAUCAGAGCCCUUAACAAUGUCCCAUGAUGGCCACCAACCCUCCUCUCCUUUUCCUCCUCUCUGUAUCCUAUUUCUAUAGGAUCUUGCUUUGAGUUAGAAAUUACUUGAUAGGAUAAACAAGGGUUCCUCAAACUUUAACCAUUCUCGUGCAAUCUUCUUAUGCCAACUGUGCUAGUAUUUAAUAUUUUAACCACACUAACUCAAUGUAUUACUUAUUAUACUAUUUUUUCAAUGAACAUAUUAAAUUAAUUCACUGUUAAACCCUAAAUUUGAUGUGCUAAUCAUAAUUUUAGAACACAUAUUAAAAUAAAUACAUAAGCAUUAUAAUUCAAAAACUUAAUCCAUUACUAUCCAGCAGUGGUAUACAACUCACAUUUUGGGAGAAACAGAAACCAAUCUUGCUAUGUCAGCCAGAUCAGAACUCCUCAAACUUAUCCAUGCA